Anas platyrhynchos (mallard) is the source of this 1701-nucleotide long non-coding RNA. RefSeq lists it as uncharacterized. NCBI's taxonomy places the organism in Eukaryota, Metazoa, Chordata, Aves, Anseriformes, Anatidae. The record is from RefSeq and is a predicted model, not a curated record.
CUUUCUUAUCACUGUAAGCAUAUCUCAGUACCACAUUCCUUCCCUCUAAACAAUGUAACUCUGCAAAAACAACAUUUCUAUUCCUACAACAGGUAACUAAUAUUUUGUAGUAAUUGUUAUAAGUUACGUGUGGCUUAAAUGGUUGUCCAGCAUUAUAGUAUCCCAUGCUGACUGAUUUUCAGAAGUAAUUGCUUUGUCCUAGUGGAAUUAGACAUAACUAGGAUGAGUAGGAUGCAGGUUUGAUGUAGCCGCUAGUUUCAGUCAAGCAGUGCUCUAGCUUUCUUGUAAAUGUGACAACGUUCUGCCUCUUCUCCAUGUAACAUGUUUAAUAAGUACAUAAUCUGUAUCAAGAGCAGUUAUUUGAAAAUCAAUAUUUAAUUUAUAUUAUUAAAUUUUAAGCGUUUUUUUAAUCUGUUUUAACUCCUCAUAUAGCAAAGGCUUGCCCUUCAAUAUAUAAUCCUGCAAGUACCUAAGGCCUGCCUAAUUUGCUUUUCCACAGCCGGUAACUUUACACUAAUUACACUUCAUUUUUGUCAGGAAAACCUAGUGUAAGAGGUAUUCACUAGCCAUUUAACAGCCAUAUGAACUGUAGUUUUGGCAGUGGUAUCAACACAUUUUCAUGUUUUUAGCAUAUAUUAAAUCCUUGAUAGCUAGCUGCCUUUGAUACUUCUGUCAUAGGGUAUUACGUGAUAGAGAGAGGGGUAAGAACACCUAGAGCAAGGGGGAUGAGUGGAAUUGCUGCUUUGGGCAGGUACCUCUCCCUGUAUGUUCUAGCACUAUUACAAAAGACUUAGGGUUUUUAUUGCAGACAAUCCAGUAACCAAACAGCCCAGUAACACUACUUCUACUUAUUCAAGCAUCUUCCUUUCAAAUUUUCUUUUCAAUUUUCUUUCAAAUUCUACUUUUCAAGCGUCCUACUCCAUAUCCCUCUGAGUUCUUACAAUGCCCUGGCUCAAGGAGAACCCCAUCCCCCCCUCCCCUCCUGAGCUCACACAGCUGAAGCUGCUAAUUACAGCUGAUUAUCAAUACAAAGCAGGUGGGAAGCCACAGGAACUUCAGUCUCGUGUCUUUUCUAUGCAGUGGCUGAUCUCUGGUGUUACAGAUCUCUAGUAAUACAGAUAUUUAUUGGAUUUCACAGAGCUCUUAUGUUUUAGUUUUGGACCUGUUUAAUGAAGCUACCUUGACAGCUGUAGCAGUGCAUUACCUUUGCAAGCAAGUGCAGGCCAUGCAGCUCUGGGAGGGGGGGCAGUCAUUCUGUUGACACUCAGGAGUUGCAGAAGAGGACAAGAGGAGGAUGAGAGUGGGGAUGCCUCAAAAAGCAAAUACUGAAAGAGGUGGAGUUGCAUGAACCAGUUUGUCAUUGGAUCUCCAUUGUACUCUCCCAACCUUCUAUAUAAUCCAUGGAUAUGACCUAAAGAAAGCAGACCUUUGGAAUGCUUCCAUACAGGUUACACAAGGUUUUGCAACUUUAUUCACUCCAUGCCUAUGCAGAUCUACUAAAGUUGCCUUUUGAUCCAAGAUGUCAAUAUCUGUGUCCACUGGGUGUUAAAGAUAAACAAAAUUUGCAGAUUGAACCCUGAUACAGGAAGAAAUACUUAGCCCAAGACUUUCCUGUUGCUGCCCAAAAAUUAGUAGAUAAAAGCACCUCCUAAUGUUUUUGUGGUUUCUCCCCUUCAUGUUCCUAUUCCUUUAAUUCUGGGA